Non-coding RNA from Podarcis lilfordi (Lilford's wall lizard), 75 nucleotides. Lineage: Eukaryota; Metazoa; Chordata; Lepidosauria; Squamata; Lacertidae. The record is from the annotation of a GenBank genome assembly.
CUUGCCAUAACUCAGAGGUAGAGCAUAUCUGCCUUGCAUGUAGAAGGUCCCAAGUUCAAACCCCGGCUGGAAAGA